RNAcentral lists this ribosomal RNA (1061 nucleotides) under Metabacillus halosaccharovorans. Its description in RNAcentral is "bacterial SSU rRNA". It matches the Rfam family "Bacterial small subunit ribosomal RNA", at positions 377 to 1429 of the family's 1533-position model. Lineage: Bacteria; Bacillati; Bacillota; Bacilli; Caryophanales; Bacillaceae. The record is from RNAcentral.
GAAAGUUUGACGGAGCAACGCCGGGUGAACGAUGAAGGCCUUUGGGUUGUAAAGUUUUGUUGUUAGGGAAGAACAAGUACCAGAGUAACUGCUGGUACCUUGACGGUACCUAACCAGAAAGCCACGGGUAAUUACGUGCCAGCAGCCGCGGUAAUACGUAGGUGGCAAGCGUUGUCCGGAAUUAUUGGGCGUAAAGCGCGCGCAGGCGGUUUCUUAAGUCUGAUGUGAAAGCCCACGGCUCAACCGUGGAGGGUCAUUGGAAACUGGGGAACUUGAGUGCAGAAGAGGAGAGUGGAAUUCCACGUGUAGCGGUGAAAUGCGUAGAGAUGUGGAGGAACACCAGUGGCGAAGGCGACUCUCUGGUCUGUAACUGACGCUGAGGCGCGAAAGCGUGGGGAGCGAACAGGAUUAGAUACCCUGGUAGUCCACGCCGUAAACGAUGAGUGCUAAGUGUUAGAGGGUUUCCGCCCUUUAGUGCUGCAGCAAACGCAUUAAGCACUCCGCCUGGGGAGUACGGUCGCAAGACUGAAACUCAAAGGAAUUGACGGGGGCCCGCACAAGCGGUGGAGCAUGUGGUUUAAUUUGAAGCAACGCGAAGAACCUUACCAGGUCUUGACAUCCUUCGCUACUUCUAGAGAUAGAAGGUUCCCCUUCGGGGGACGAAGUGACAGGUGGUGCAUGGUUGUCGUCAGCUCGUGUCGUGAGAUGUUGGGUUAAGUCCCGCAACGAGCGCAACCCUUGAUCUUAGUUGCCAGCAUUCAGUUGGGCACUCUAAGGUGACUGCCGGUGACAAACCGGAGGAAGGUGGGGAUGACGUCAAAUCAUCAUGCCCCUUAUGACCUGGGCUACACACGUGCUACAAUGGAUGGUACAAAGGGCUGCAAGACCGCGAGGUCAAGCCAAUCCCAUAAAACCAUUCUCAGUUCGGAUUGCAGGCUGCAACUCGCCUGCAUGAAGCCGGAAUCGCUAGUAAUCGCGGAUCAGCAUGCCGCGGUGAAUACGUUCCCGGGCCUUGUACACACCGCCCGUCACACCACGAGAGUUUGUAACACCCGAAGUCG